GGCCGAUUUUGUGAAUAGGAAAUCCUUUCACAGCAUUAAUGUUCAGAUGGUCUGCAAUGCUGACUGUGUGAUCAGCAAUGUUGUGGCAAAAUGGCCUGGCUCAGUCCAUGACUCCAGAAUCUUUCGGGCCUCUGAAAUCUAUCAGUGCCUAUCACAAGGUGAAUUCUCUGGUGUGCUGCUGGGAGACAGGGGUAUGGCUGCCAGCCUUUUCUCCUGACACCUUUCACAGACCCCCAGGAAGCACAGCAGGCCUACAACCAUGCCCAUGCCAGGACCAGGGCCAGAGUUGAAAUGACCUUUGGCCUCCUGAAGGCACGCUUUCACUGCCUUCACAAAUUAAGGGUCAGCCCUGUUAGGGCAUGUGAUAUUACUGUGGCUUGUGCUGUCCUCCACAAUGUGGCCUGCCUGAGGAAGGAGAGGGCCCCCAGAGUGCCACCAGCCAUGGACUGGGACAAUCCGGCAAUCUUCCCUGAUGACGAC
Molecule: long non-coding RNA, 480 nt
Filed under: Salmo salar (Atlantic salmon)
Lineage: Eukaryota; Metazoa; Chordata; Actinopteri; Salmoniformes; Salmonidae
Description: lncRNA (ENSSSAG00000083823.1)
Source: RNAcentral